UUGACCUCAGAUCAGGUAGGAAUACCCGCUGAACUUAAGCAUAUCAAUAAGCGGAGGAAAAGAAACCAACAGGGAUUGCCCCAGUAACGGCGAGUGAAGCGGCAACAGCUCAAAUUUGAAAUCUGCCCUAGGCCCGAGUUGUAAUUUGUAGAGGAUGUUUCUGACGAGGUACCUUCCGAGUUCCCUGGAACGGGACGCCAUAGAGGGUGAGAGCCCCGUACGGUUGGUCGCCAAGUCUCUGUGAAACUCCUUCGACGAGUCGAGUAGUUUGGGAAUGCUGCUCUAAAUGGGAGGUAUACGUCUUCUAAAGCUAAAUAUAGGCCAGAGACCGAUAGCGCACAAGUAGAGUGAUCGAAAGAUGAAAAGCACUUUGAAAAGAGGGUUAAAUAGUACGUGAAAUUGUUGAAAGGGAAGCGCAUAUGACCAGACUUGGCCAGGUUAAUCAUCCAUCGUUCUCGGUGGUGCACUUUGCCGCCAGGCCAGCAUCAGUUCGCUUUGGGGGAUAAAGACUUUGGGAAUGUGGCUCCCUCGGGAGUGUUAUAGCCCAUUGUGUAAUACCCUGGAGUGGACUGAGGUUCGC
This 580-nucleotide ribosomal RNA is filed under the name Nectriopsis microspora. Its description in RNAcentral is "eukaryotic LSU rRNA". It matches the Rfam family "Eukaryotic large subunit ribosomal RNA", at positions 1 to 596 of the family's 3401-position model. Lineage: Eukaryota; Fungi; Ascomycota; Sordariomycetes; Hypocreales; Bionectriaceae. The record is from RNAcentral.